Molecule: microRNA precursor, 63 nt
Filed under: Octopus vulgaris (common octopus)
Lineage: Eukaryota; Metazoa; Mollusca; Cephalopoda; Octopoda; Octopodidae
Description: Ovu-Mir-12511_pre stem-loop
Source: RNAcentral
ACUGGGUUUUCACUGAUGUCACGAACUGUUUCAAAUAUAUGACCACGGUGUAUAAUUCAGUAA